GAAUUGAAGAGUUUGAUCAUGGCUCAGAUUGAACGCUGGCGGCAGGCUUAACACAUGCAAGUCGAACGGUAGCACAUAGGAGUUUGCUCCUUGGGUGACGAGUGGCGGACGGGUGAGUAAUGCUUGGGAAUCUGGCUUAUGGAGGGGGAUAACUACUGGAAACGGUAGCUAAUACCGCGUAAUGUCUUAGGACUAAAGGGUGGGACCAUUUGGCCACCUGCCAUAAGAUGAGCCCAAGUGGGAUUAGGUAGUUGGUGAGGUAAAGGCUCACCAAGCCCGCGAUCUCUAGCUGGUCUGAGAGGAUGACCAGCCACACUGGAACUGAGACACGGUCCAGACUCCUACGGGAGGCAGCAGUGGGGAAUAUUGCACAAUGGGGGGAACCCUGAUGCAGCCAUGCCGCGUGAAUGAAGAAGGCCUUCGGGUUGUAAAGUUCUUUCGGUGACGAGGAAGGCGAUUGUUUUAAUAGAACAGUCGAUUGACGUUAAUCACAGAAGAAGCACCGGCUAACUCCGUGC
Molecule: ribosomal RNA, 518 nt
Filed under: Mannheimia haemolytica
Lineage: Bacteria; Pseudomonadati; Pseudomonadota; Gammaproteobacteria; Pasteurellales; Pasteurellaceae
Description: bacterial SSU rRNA
Rfam family: Bacterial small subunit ribosomal RNA
Source: RNAcentral